UCCAGAUAAUUCUAGUGCCCAAUCCUUCAAGUCUUGUCGGGCUGCUCAAGCCUUCCCAUCUGGGGCCCCAGACAUGAGGAAGCCCUCCCUACUCUGCCCUGAGUGCCUGAUCCUCAGAACCUGUGAGCGUAAUAAAAUGGGCCUGUUCCGUGUCCCUAAAUGAGGGGGGUCUGGUGCACAGCAGUAAAGAACCAGAAUGCCCCUCAUUCACAAAGACUCUGGCAACACUGCAGUUUCCAUCUCCUUCCAGAUCGGCUAUCCCCUGGGAGACUUCAGUGUCACACAAAUGACCUCUCACUGCCAACACUCUGACCUCCCAGUCCUUGACCUCCUCACCCACAGCAAUGUCCUCACCUAAGUCACCUGGGCUAACUCUUCCAGUGAACAAACGGCAGGGUCUGGGAGUUUUAAGGGACACCGCGAGGGCUGUUAUAAGGUAAAUGGAGGCUUCCUCUUGUAGCCCCUCCAAAGGUCCUGUGCCUCCCCCUAGCGUUGUCAUCAUGCAGGAUAUUGGGAAGAGCAGCAGGUCACAAAGUCACCGUGUCAAGCCUCCUGUCAAUCAUAACAGGGAAUUCAUAACAGAGUUGGGGUGGGAGGUGGGGAAUUGGCAUCAUUCGCUCCGGCUUCUGAGCCGGUGCCUCCGGCUUUUCACCAGCACUUGAUUCCGUCUCAGACCAAAUAUGCGGAUGUCCUUCGUCACCUACUCCAUGGACUGUGACACCGUCUUGCUGCUCACCUCAGACAAGGGCACAGAAAGUCAAGGAGGCCAGGCAAUCUAAGCAAUUCGGCAGAUGGAAAAUUUCAACUCCACAUACAACAAGGUUUCCAGCAUGAUUAUUGCUAUGACCGAUGGAACAAUGAUGAAACAUCCAUUUUUGGACACUCUCAAAGAAAUCCUACCAUGUGGUUAUUCAUGGAAAUGGCUUUCAGACUCUAAAGAAACAAGACGAAGUUAUUUGCAGAUUUAUCUUCAAACGAAAGCACUAUCAUUGGUAAGUUGUCUCCUCGGUGCCUCUGAGUCACGUAUUUCCCAUACAAUACUGCCUUUCCCCACAGCCAGCCAAGCCUCCCAGCCCUUGCCAGCUGUUCCCUGUGGACCCUGUGGGGUUAGAGGCCAUGAGGACAAGUGGAAGGAGGUACUGGGAAGCCCGGCCACCCCUCCCUUCAUCUGCCAAGCGGGGAAGUAACAAAUCCCAAGAGAGCAUCUCAGAUCAGGGCUUCCCCCUCAGUGAGGCUGGGUUUAGGACUGGUUCUGCCAUCACAGCUGCAUCUGCCCACCUUAGCCUCAGUUUCCCCUUCCCUUGAGAGCCCAGGACCCGAAGCCCACAAGGCUACUCCUGGGAAAUGGUGGCAGCCCUGGA
This 1361-nucleotide long non-coding RNA is filed under the name Macaca nemestrina (pig-tailed macaque). Its description in RNAcentral is "lncRNA (ENSMNEG00000045970.1)". Lineage: Eukaryota; Metazoa; Chordata; Mammalia; Primates; Cercopithecidae. The record is from RNAcentral.